This 330-nucleotide ribosomal RNA is filed under the name uncultured bacterium. RNAcentral's name for it is "bacterial SSU rRNA". It matches the Rfam family "Bacterial small subunit ribosomal RNA", at positions 568 to 898 of the family's 1533-position model. The record is from RNAcentral.
CGCGUAGGUGGUAGUGCAAGUCUGGGGUGGAAUCCCAGGGCUUAACCCUGGAACUGCCCUGGAAACUGUAUUACUUGAGUCAGUGAGGGGAGGGUAGAAUUCCCGGUGUAGCGGUGAAAUGCGUAGAUAUCGGGAGGAAGGCCUGUGGCGAAGGCGGCCCUCUGGCGCUGAACUGACACUGAGGCGCGAAAGCGUGGGUAGCAAACAGGAUUAGAUACCCUGGUAGUCCACGCCCUAAACGGUGGGUACUAGGUGUAGGGCUCGUAAGGGUUCUGUGCCGAAGCGAAAGCAUUAAGUACCCCGCCUGGGGAGUACGGCCGCAAGGUUGAA